UACAGAGGGUGCGAGCGUUAAUCGGAAUUACUGGGCGUAAAGCGUGCGUAGACGGUCAUGUAAGUCGGAUGUGAAAGCCCCGGGCUCAACCUGGGAAUUGCAUUCGAGACUGCAUGGCUUGGGUGCGGAAGAGGGAAGCGGAAUUUCCGGUGUAGCGGUGAAAUGCGUAGAUAUCGGAAGGAACACCAGUGGCGAAAAGCGGCUUCCUGGUCCGACACCGACGUUCAGGCACGAAAGCGUGGGGGAGCAAACAGGA
RNAcentral lists this ribosomal RNA (256 nucleotides) under uncultured bacterium. RNAcentral's name for it is "partial 16S ribosomal RNA". It matches the Rfam family "Bacterial small subunit ribosomal RNA", at positions 524 to 777 of the family's 1533-position model. The record is from RNAcentral.